This 494-nucleotide ribosomal RNA is filed under the name uncultured bacterium. Its description in RNAcentral is "bacterial SSU rRNA". It matches the Rfam family "Bacterial small subunit ribosomal RNA", at positions 21 to 518 of the family's 1533-position model. The record is from RNAcentral.
GGUUCAGGAUGAACGCUGGCGGCGUGCUUAACACAUGCAAGUCGAACGGAGUUUUAGACGGAAGUUUCGGAUGGAAGUUAAAAACUUAGUGGCGGACGGGUGAGUAACGCGUGGGUAACCUGCCUCAUACAGGGGGAUAACAGUUAGAAAUGACUGCUAACACCGCAUAAUAUAGCGAAACCGCAUGAUUUUGCUAUCAAAUAUUUAUAGGUAUGAGAUGGGCCCGCGUCUGAUUAGCUAGUUGGUGGGGUAAAAGCCUACCAAGGCGACGAUCAGUAGCCGGCUUGAGAGAGUGACCGGCCACAUUGGGACUGAGACACGGCCCAAACUCCUACGGGAGGCAGCAGUGGGGAAUAUUGGACAAUGGGGGAAACCCUGAUUCAGCCGACGCCGCGUGAGUGAAGAAGUAUUUCGGUAUGUAAAGCUCUAUCAGCAGGGAAGAUAAUGACAGUACCUGACUAAGAAGCCCCGGCUAACUACGUGCCAGCCGCCGC